AUCUUUUUCAAUGAUUCAAUCAUAUAUAUAUAUAUGAAUAUAAAUAGAAACAAGAAACAAGAUAGAAACAAGAAAUGCAACGUGUAAACAUUUUGCUUAUCAAUAUUGUAAUUUAAUGUGUGAGAGAGAGAGAGAGAGAGAGAGAAGAAAAACAAAAAAAAAGUCCUGCUCGACUCCAUCGAUCGUAACUGCGAAUGUCGAACGAUCGAAAUAUCCUCGUUUCACCCCUCUUCGCGAUUUCGAUGGAGGGUACGAGAUAUUUUUAAGAGACAUUUAUUUUAGGAUACUUAAUUUUUUUUUUUUUCUUAGAAAAGUUUAUGUAGAAAAUUUUUGUUUCGUCAUUUUCAAUCGUCCAUAUCUUCGGAUUAAUUUUUGGUAAUAAUUUUGUGGUAAUAAUCUUUUUCAUAUCUGUUAUCUAUUUUUUAUUGCGAUGUGAAAAAAAGUAUUAACGAACAGUGUUUACUUUAUCGUUGAUGGGCUUUACGAUGCAAAAUUACAGGGAGGAAAAACAUUGUUAAUGAUACUUUUAGAGAUAGUUUCGUAAGGUAUAAUUAAUCGAGGGAUAAAAAUAAAGAGAGGGGGGAGGGGGGGAGGGAAACUUUCUACACUUUUAGAGCACGAAAUAAAUAAAUCUGACUAUCCAUGGAUAAUUGAAUAAUUGAAUAUAGAAAAUAGCGGGUUCGUUUCUAUUAUCUAUUUUUUGUUUGAUGUUUAAAAAUUAACUAUUGCGUCCUCUAUCGUGAACUUCCCUAUUACGCGUCAGACGGUGAAACACAAUCGUACGUCACAAUGAAAAAUAAUUAGUGGUCGGAUAAAUUUGUCAGAGACAAAUGAAAUUAAACGUUAAGAAUGCAAAUUAUAGAUAUUUCCUUCGCAUUGUCUUAUCAUAUUUACACGACCACUCCCUUCUUCGAUUGUUAGACAGACAAAAAAAAAAAAAAAAAAAAAAAAAGAAGAAGAAAACGAGUAAAUAACAAAAGACCAUUUCAGCUUCGAACACGUUGAAUCAUCAUAAAUCGUCCCAUAAAUUAUGUGUCAUCAUUCGUAUGCAAUCCAGAAGGAACAAUUAUCAAAUCUUUUCUAAUUAUUUGGAAUAAUUAAUAACUUUCAAAUUUCCAAACAAUGCACCCUAAUUUAUUCUUUACGCGUAUUUUAUCCUCGGUUAGAAAAAAGUGAAUUAUCCAUUUCGAGACGAGCAAUUCGUAACAAAGUAACUUUCCUACGUAACUUUCCUAUCCUUUCCUAUCGUUUAAAUAACAAUUUCCCGUUUAAAUAAUUUUAUUUGAAUAAAAAAUAUCGUGUAAUUCUACAAAAAAGAAAAAAAAAAAUAUUAAACGCUUCCACACUUAACGCAAUAUUUUCAAGGAAGUAGCGAAAGACGCGUUAAACGUUAACGAUAAAAUGUUUCUAUUAAAAGAAGAAUAUUUUAAUGAAAAGAAGAAACUUUACAAUGUCUUUUAUGUCUUUACUAAAAGUGAUGAGGAUAAAUUGUGAAACAAUGACGAUACCUUUACACUCCCAUCGAUCGACAAUAUCACUGGAACGAAGCUAAAA
Molecule: long non-coding RNA, 1554 nt
Filed under: Apis florea (little honeybee)
Lineage: Eukaryota; Metazoa; Arthropoda; Insecta; Hymenoptera; Apidae
Description: uncharacterized LOC116414544
Source: RNAcentral